RNAcentral lists this ribosomal RNA (253 nucleotides) under uncultured bacterium. Its description in RNAcentral is "partial 16S ribosomal RNA". It matches the Rfam family "Bacterial small subunit ribosomal RNA", at positions 524 to 776 of the family's 1533-position model. The record is from RNAcentral.
UACGUAGGGCGCAAGCGUUGUCCGGAAUUAUUGGGCGUAAAGAGCUCGUAGGUGGCGUGUCGCGUCUGCCGUGAAAGCCCAUGGCUUAACUGUGGGUCUGCGGUGGAUACGGGCAGGCUGGAGGCUGGUAGGGGCAAGCGGAAUUCCUGGUGUAGCGGUGAAAUGCGUAGAUAUCGAGAGGAACACCUGCGGCGAAGGCGGGUUGCUGGGCUGAUACUGACGCUGAGGCGCGAAAGCCAGGGGAGCGAACGGG